RNAcentral lists this ribosomal RNA (171 nucleotides) under uncultured eukaryote. RNAcentral describes it as "partial 18S ribosomal RNA". It matches the Rfam family "Eukaryotic small subunit ribosomal RNA", at positions 1299 to 1458 of the family's 1831-position model. The record is from RNAcentral.
UCGUGGAGUGAUCUGUCUGGUUGAUUCCGUUAACGAACGAGAUCUCGGCCUCUCAGUGACAGCUAUGAUCGUUCGUAGGCAACGGUGUCUUCGGGCACCAGCUGAGAUCUGGCCUUCGUACUCAGAGGGAUUACGCAUGUUUCCAAUGCGUUGAGAACCGAGCCAAUAGCA